Molecule: ribosomal RNA, 397 nt
Filed under: uncultured bacterium
Lineage: Bacteria
Description: partial 16S ribosomal RNA
Rfam family: Bacterial small subunit ribosomal RNA
Source: RNAcentral
AUACGUAGGGGGCGAGCGUUGUCCGGAAUGAUUGGGCGUAAAGGGCGCGUAGGCGGCCCGGUAAGUCUGGAGUGAAAGUCCUGUUUUUAAGAUGGGAAUUGCUUUGGAUACUGUCGGGCUUGAGUGCAGGAGAGGCAAGUGGAAUUCCCAGUGUAGCGGUGAAAUGCGUAGAGAUUGGGAGGAACACCAGUGGCGAAGGCGACUUACUGGCCUGUAACUGACCCUGAGGCGCGAAAGUGUGGGGAGCAAACAGGAUUAGAUACCCUGGUAGUCCACACUGUAAACGAUGAAUGCUAGGUGUAGGGGGUAUCGACCCCUUCUGUGCCGCAGUCAACACAAUAAGCAUUCCGCCUGGGGAGUACGGCCGCAAGGUUGAAACUCAAAUGAAUUGACGGGG